GGCCGCGUACAGCCUCGCCACUGCAGAACCAAAGGAAGCCCUGAAGUGGCAGGUUGGGGAGCAAAAACUGACAGGCCCAUUGAGCUCUGUCUCGAAAGAGGGCCCUUCCUUCUUAAGCCCCUCUCUGAGCACCUGCCUGAGGAGAUGUGGAUUCUACUCUCUGUGAGUCUUGGUUGAAGGUGAUGGAAUUCCUAGGAAAGCCCAGCGGGGAGGUGAUAGGGAGAAAAGGAACCUAAAGACCUCUAGGCGGUGACAUUGUUUAUUUUCAGUAACGUAAGGACAAGAAUUACUACCAUAAUCCGGAUCAUCAUCCAUUCAACAAAUAUGCCCUGCUCUGCCAGGCACGCUCUACAGUGGCAGAAAGUGCAGAGGAGUAGGAGACAGCGUGGCUGUGCUCCACGUGCCUAUGGGCAAGUCAGUUAGUACCUCUGAACCCUACUAUCCUCAUUUAUAAAAUGCAGGUGCUACUAUUCACCCUGCUACUGUUGUGAGGCUCAGAUUAAUGUAUGCAGAUGUGCUUUGUAACAAACACCUUGAAGCCAGAAUGGUGGGGUAGGGGAAAGGGCACAGGCGUGAAGUCAGGCAGCCAUGGGCUCCUAACAGCUUGUGACCUUGAGCCGACCUUACGUUCUCUGAGCAGGUGGCUUCUUCUGAACCUGAAAUCCCUAAACUCUUAACAUGAAGGUUAAAAUAGCCUAACCUACCAAGCUGGUGUUAAAAAUAAAGUCAGAUAGUGUGUGUGAAAGAACUUACCCCAGCACCUGGCACGCAGCUGCUAAAACUUAAUUUCCUUUCCUAUUGUUUAGUAUUGUCUCUAAGUGUCUAACACAAAUGGGAGAUCAAUGAAUGGUUAGUAAAUUCAGGGGUUACAGGUUUUCUCACUGUGGGAGUUCAAGGGAAGGAGAUAUGAAGGUCAUGUUGAGGUUUAAUGAGGGGGCAAGUUAGAAUUUGUUAAGAAAACAAUUCAGAUCCUAAGAGCAGUACAGACCAGGAAAAAGAAUGGGGGGAGGGGAGCAUGAUUAGAACUUUGCGGCUGGUUCAGGGCCAGGCUGGUCCACCUUUCCAGGACGCAGAGCCUCUGCUCUCCUCCCCACGCCUGACUGUGCCAGUGCCUGGGCUAACCAAGCAUGUGUCACUGACUUCUUGGGAAUUGCACAAGAGGGCCCCAAAGAAUACAUUUCAUGUUCCUCAGUGUUCUGCCAAGGACACUUGGUAUGUGGACACUUGGUAUGUGUCACUUAGAGCUAGAGUUAGAGAGGACUUGGCUCCCAGGAAAUAUGCUAGAGUGAGGGUGGGAGCUGAGGGGAGAGCCCAGAAGAGCAGGAAUAUGUCAAGGCUAACAACCUGCACUUCUGGAUUCUGUAACAGACACUGUUGGUUGCACACUUCAUACCUAUUCCCUACCCCCGUCUCCCUUCUUCCUAACAGAACUUUAAUUUCGUUCUGCCAAGCAGUCAGGAACUUCAGGGAAGCUGGAGCCAGCCACAGGAAUGAGUCUGGAUUAGUCUAAGCCCAUCAUAGUAGUCCCAUUCCCCUUGCCAGUGACUGGUUAGGCAUGGGCUUGUGGCAACCUGGACAGUAUGAGGGCAAGUCUGCUGGGGUGAAGGAGUGUCCUGGGAAGAGUUUCUUUGCUCUUAAAAAGAUGCACAACAAAUUAGAGAAAGAGAGAUGGACAAGAAGGAAUGAUGUCUUUUCCUGCCUCUAGAAAUUCUGUGGAUGUGAUGCUGGAACCUUGGCAGGCAUCAUGAAACCUGUGGAAAGCUAAGCUAACCUGGGGCCAAAGCCUGAAUCCAUCCAGGGUGGAUGGCAGAAUAGAAAGGCCUGGGUCCUUGAUAGUAAUGUUGAGCCUCUGACUUAACCAACCUUCUUAUGAAAUAAUUUCAUUAUUGUUAAGGCCACUUUAAGUUUUCUUUUACUUAGAGCCAAAGGCGUCAUAAUAUAAGAGUAAAACAAAACAAAACAAAAACACUAGUUCUAAAAAAAAAAACAAAAAAAACACUAGUUCUAAUCCUAAUCACUAGAGAUACAGACCCUGGCCAAAUUCAUCUCAUCAGCCCUCAGUUUUCUCAUCUAUAAAAUGGGUAAACUAAUGUUACUACCUCAUUGAGCAGGAUAUCGUAGAUGAGAUGAUGCAAAAAGAGCAGCUGGCCCAGUGUCUAACUUGCUAAUAAGUAAAUAGCAAUUCAUUGUGUUUAGUUAGAAUUUGGUAGGAUGGGAGAAAAGAAAAAAGUAGUAAGACUGGGAGUUCAGGGGAAAGAGUCUGUGAAGUUGAGAAAUGGAAAGGUUAGAAUUUCAAAUUGGGAUGUAGAUUAGGAUGCAGGGACUGGAACAAAUUCUGCAGAAAAGACCAUGGCAGCUAGAAUCUGGGUAAGAGUUAAUAUAAGUUAGGAAACAAAUUAUAAUUAGUCUUAGAUUCAUGGUUUGUGAAGAAACAGCUCACUGUUCUUGGUGAAAUGGCUUGUUACUAUUAUUGUUUCCAUCUGUGUAAAGAGUAUUUCUAAAUCCCUGAAGAUUGGAAGGACAUUCUAACCUGGGAAAGGAGUGGAAGAGCUAGCUGAGGGGCCUGUAGGAAUGCUCAUUGCCUUGGUGCCUCCUUCCGAGGGAUAGUCAUGGUAACCUACCCACAACUUGUUCCUGACGACAGCUGCCACACCCAGCGGCCAGUGUUGGAUGUGGCAGCAGAGAAAUGUUUCGCUGGGAUUACACCCAUCUACAAGAUGAAGGUCCAGUUAGGAAAGUCACGACAGUGCCCUGCUCACUCCACACAGCCUGCUGGGUCUCCCAAAUGGCAGUCUACAACUCUCUUGUGCUCUGCCUUUGAUCUGACCGGGAAUUGCUGUAAAAUUUCAUGUAAAUAAAUACAAAUAUCGAAUCAUGUCGUACACCUGAAACUAAUAUAAUGGUAUGUGUUAACUAUAUCUCAAUUUUUAAAAAUCAGAAUACUUAUCAGCCAAAAAAUUUUCACAUAGAUCCCAGAUCAAUCACUUGAUUGUAUGUCAGUACUGGGCAAGCAUAAAUCCCCUCUAUGAGGAUGAAUUAAAAGAAAAUCAUGAGACCUUUGGGAAAAAUUCCUCAGAUCAAGAGACAACC
Molecule: long non-coding RNA, 3090 nt
Filed under: Phocoena sinus (vaquita)
Lineage: Eukaryota; Metazoa; Chordata; Mammalia; Artiodactyla; Phocoenidae
Description: lncRNA (ENSPSNG00000016787.1)
Source: RNAcentral